GCCUCUGCUGCGGGGGUUGCCGGUGCCACUUCCCCUCUCCACAGCCGUGCGGUGCCCAGCUUAGCUCACGUUCACAGUUCUUUCAGCAGAUGUAGCCGUGGACAGCAGCCUGGUUACAGUGGGAUGUGCAGCUGGCCGACCCCCUCUAGCCAUCCUGCAAGUCACUGUGAACGCCCUCACGCUCCAACAGCAAAGCCACUGCUCAGAAAGAGGCUGGGCUCCUGCACACCUGCCAGCGAUGGCUACCCGUGUCCAUCCUGUUCACUGAAGGGGAGCGGCUCCUGGAGGGUGAAGCCGCUGUGGUUUGAGGGUGAAGCCACUGUCGUUUGAGCCCUCGGCCCGGACGCAGCUGAUGCACCAGCCACAGAAGCACGGAGGAGUCAAGAAUGGGAAGGACAGAAACGGUUCCUGACCUCGGGAGCUGGAGGUUGAGUGGGAACAGCCAUCGCUGGGUUUUUCCCAUAGAAGGAUGAAGACCGCUCUGACGGUGUGGCGCUCCCUCUAGUGGCUGAGAGUCGCUAACUCACCGGCGAGGCUUCCCAAGGCCGGAGGGCGGCUUCUCAAAAGUUUGUUCCAGAGAUGCCUCGUCACCCCUAACACCCUAGUAUACAAUCCAGGAGGCGAAAACUAUUUUGAUCAUACGGAUGAGACCGUGGCUGUAUUAAGAAUGUGUGUGUAAUCCACAGCGGUAUAACGAAAUUUGGAAUAUCUGCGUGACUCCAAACUACUAUUUUCCAAAUGACCGAUGCAUGAUGUUACAAAAUCACAAAUGGUAAAAGAUCCCUUCAAAGUGCAAGAGGGAUGAAGAUAUUUUAAUGUAACAGUGUGCAAAGUUCACUAGUGCAAUCUCAGAUUCCAGAUUGCGACGAAUCUUUAAGAAAUUAGAUUUUUAGUGUAGUGAAAAAGGCUAUUCACAAUUAUCUAGAAAGACUACUAAAAUUAUUCUCUCUUCUUCAACUACACAGCUGCUUGACACAGGUUUUCUUCAUGUAUUUCGAUCCAAAAUGGAAUCACAGCAGAUUAAAUGCAAAAGUACCUAUCCAGCCAUCUUAUCUGAAGCCAGACAUUAAAGAGAUUUGCAAAAAAUAUAAAA
Molecule: long non-coding RNA, 1093 nt
Organism: Homo sapiens (human)
Lineage: Eukaryota; Metazoa; Chordata; Mammalia; Primates; Hominidae
Source: Ensembl